RNAcentral lists this ribosomal RNA (416 nucleotides) under uncultured bacterium. RNAcentral describes it as "bacterial SSU rRNA". It matches the Rfam family "Bacterial small subunit ribosomal RNA", at positions 355 to 776 of the family's 1533-position model. The record is from RNAcentral.
CAAGGAAUCUUCCGCAAUGGGGGCAACCCUGACGGAGCAACGCCGCGUGGGGGAUGACGCCCUUCGGGGUGUAAACCCCUUUUCUGCGGGAAGAAGGCGCUCACGCGCUUGACGGUACCGCAGGAAGAAGGACCGGCUAACUACGUGCCAGCAGCCGCGGUAAUACGUAGGGUCCGAGCGUUGUCCGGAGUUACUGGGCGUAAAGCGCGCGCAGGCGGCGGUGCUGGCCCGGCGUGAAAGCCCCCGGCUCAACCGGGGAGGGUCGUCGGGGACCGCACCGCUUGAGGGCGGUAGGGGCUGGUGGAAUGCCUGGUGUAGUGGUGAAAUGCGUAGAGAUCAGGCGGAACACCCGUGGCGAAGGCGGCCAGCUGGGCCGUCCCUGACGCUGAGGCGCGAAGGCGUGGGGAGCGAACGGG